Molecule: ribosomal RNA, 496 nt
Filed under: uncultured bacterium
Lineage: Bacteria
Description: partial 16S ribosomal RNA
Rfam family: Bacterial small subunit ribosomal RNA
Source: RNAcentral
AUGAACGCUGGCGGCGUGCCUCAUACAUGCAAGUCGAGCGCACAGACGAGGAGCUUGCUCCUCUGACGUUAGCGGCGGACGGGUGAGUAACACGUGGAUAACCUACCUAUAAGACUGGGAUAACUUCGGGAAACCGGAGCUAAUACCGGAUAACAUGUUGAACCGCAUGGUUUAACAGUGAAAGACGGUCUUGCUGUCACUUAUAGAUGGAUCCGCGCCGCAUUAGCUAGUUGGUAAGGUAACGGCUUACCAAGGCAACGAUGCGUAGCCGACCUGAGAGGGUGAUCGGCCACACUGGAACUGAGACACGGUCCAGACUCCUACGGGAGGCAGCAGUAGGGAAUCUUCCGCAAUGGGCGAAAGCCUGACGGAGCAACGCCGCGUGAGUGAAGAAGGUCUUCGGAUCGUAAAACUCUGUUAUUAGGGAAGAACAAAUGUGUAAGUAACUAUGCACGUCUUGACGGUACCUAAUCAGAAAGCCACGGCUAACUACGUG